This is a long non-coding RNA of Girardinichthys multiradiatus, 783 nucleotides long. RefSeq lists it as uncharacterized. Lineage: Eukaryota; Metazoa; Chordata; Actinopteri; Cyprinodontiformes; Goodeidae. The transcript is spliced from 3 exons. The record is from RefSeq and is a predicted model, not a curated record.
CGUGAUACAUCCCCCACCCCCACCCUUCAAAAAAAAAAAGAGCAGGACAAGGAGGAGGGGACAUGAAAAGUAGAAGAGGAGGACGGAUCUGGAGGGGUGACAGACAGACUUGAGGAAUCAGUGACUGUGGCUUUGGUGGCCCUACUGGAGAACACAACAUUGCUGUGGCUGGAAGAGUGGGCCAUGCCACUGUCAGAUGUGUGCUGGGAUGAUGUAAUGGCAGACCAGAGGCACUGGGCUUUUUAUCGCUCUGUUCCUCUCCAGAAAAUAUUCGGCUCAGAUGAGGGGCGGAAGAGCAGACCGUUGAUAAGUUCCCAGACAACAGGGUGGAUGAACAAUGCUUGAAUCAAGACAGUUUGCCCUCUGAUUAGUGGAGUGGUUUUUUUUAAUCAUAGCCGGCUUGUCAUAAACUCCAAACAGGGUUAUCACCUAAAAGAACUUACAGCGUCUGGAAAAGGUGUCUAAAUGGUAAUUCUUCAACAUUUUUACACAAUAUACACCUAAACUACCAGUGGUACCUUAGCAUCCUGAGCAUCAUACCAAUCAGACUGAAUGGAGAGCACCUCAAACAUUAAUUAUGAAGUAAUACAACAUAUUCUUAAUAGGAUUUUGGUCUAUUGACUGAGCCAUUCUAGCCUCUAUAAGGUUUUCUUGUAGGAAUAUCCUGUACUUUGCUCCAUCCUUCUGAAUGUUGAAUCCCCACAGUUUUAUAGUGUUAUAGUAUAGUAUUAUGGUGGAGCCAACAUGUUUCGCUGUGGGAUGGUGUGUUCAGGUUGAUUUGCA